RNAcentral lists this ribosomal RNA (250 nucleotides) under uncultured bacterium. RNAcentral's name for it is "partial 16S ribosomal RNA". It matches the Rfam family "Bacterial small subunit ribosomal RNA", at positions 524 to 773 of the family's 1533-position model. The record is from RNAcentral.
UACAGAGGGUGCAAGCGUUGUUCGGAAUUACUGGGCGUAAAGCGCGUGUAGGUGGCGAUGUAAGUCGGGUGUGAAAUCCCUCAGCUUAACUGAGGAAGUGCACUCGAUACUGUGUCGCUUGAGUGUUGGAGGGGAUGGCGGAAUUCCCGGUGUAGAGGUGAAAUUCGUAGAUAUCGGGAGGAACACCUGUGGCGAAGGCGGCCAUCUGGACAACUACUGACACUGAGACGCGAAAGCGUGGGUAGCAAAC